This 75-nucleotide transfer RNA is filed under the name Thermotogota bacterium. RNAcentral describes it as "Thermotogae bacterium (oil production facility metagenome) tRNA-Asn". It matches the Rfam family "tRNA". From Rfam's summary of the family: Transfer RNA (tRNA) molecules are approximately 80 nucleotides in length. Their secondary structure includes four short double-helical elements and three loops (D, anti-codon, and T loops). The record is from RNAcentral. Lineage: Bacteria; Thermotogati; Thermotogota.
UCCACCGUAGCUCAAUGGUAGAGCGCCCGGCUGUUAACCGGGUGGUUGGGGGUUCGAGUCCCUCCGGUGGAGCCA